This 378-nucleotide ribosomal RNA is filed under the name uncultured eukaryote. RNAcentral describes it as "partial 18S ribosomal RNA". It matches the Rfam family "Eukaryotic small subunit ribosomal RNA", at positions 592 to 977 of the family's 1831-position model. The record is from RNAcentral.
CAAUAGCGUAUAUUUAAGUUGCUGCAGUUAAAAAGCUCGUAGUUGGAUUUCGGGUGGGAACGGCCGGUCCGCCGUUUCGGUGUGCACUUGCUACGCCCACCUUGCUGCCGGGGACGUGCUCUUGAGUUCACGCUCGGGACAUGGAGUCGGCGAGGUUACUUUGAGUAAAUUAGAGUGUUCAAAGCAGGCCUACGCUCUGAAUACAUUAGCACGGAAUAACACGAUAGGACUCUGGCCUAUCUUGUUGGUCUGUAGGACCGGAGUAAUGAUUAAGAGGGACAGUCGGGGGCAUUCGUAUUUCAUUGUCAGAGGUGAAAUUCUUGGAUUUAUGAAAGACGAACUACUGCGAAAGCAUUUGCCAAGGAUGUUUUCAUUAAC